This 74-nucleotide transfer RNA is filed under the name Hordeum vulgare. RNAcentral's name for it is "tRNA-OTHER". Lineage: Eukaryota; Viridiplantae; Streptophyta; Magnoliopsida; Poales; Poaceae. The record is from RNAcentral.
GUCGGCCGUAGCCCAGCUGGUCAGCGCGCUCGGUAGCAACCCUGAGGUCCAGGGAUCAAAUCCCGCCGGCGCCC